CCUACGGGUGGCAGCAGUGGGGGAUAUUGCACAAUGGGGGAAACCCUGAUGCCGCGACGCCGCGUGUGGGAAGACGGUCCUCUGGAUUGUAAACCACUGUCCCCAGGGACGAAGAUGACGGUACCUGGGGAGGAAGCUCCGGCUAACUACGUGCCAGCAGCCGCGGUAAUACGUAGGGAGCGAGCGUUGGCCGGAUUUACUGGGUGUAAAGGGAGCGUAGGCGGGACUGCAAGUUGGGUGUCAAAUCUACCGGCUCAACCGGGAGCCGCACGCAAGAGUGCAGUUAGUGAGUGAAGUAGAGGCAGGCGGAAGUACUAGUGUAGCGGGGAAAUGCGUAGAUAUUAGGAGGAACACCAGUGGCGAAGGCGGCCUGCUGGGCUUUUACGGACGCUGAGGCUCGAAAGUGUGGGGAGCAAACAGGAGUAGAUACCCCUGUAGUC
This 440-nucleotide ribosomal RNA is filed under the name uncultured bacterium. RNAcentral describes it as "partial 16S ribosomal RNA". It matches the Rfam family "Bacterial small subunit ribosomal RNA", at positions 338 to 795 of the family's 1533-position model. The record is from RNAcentral.